RNAcentral lists this ribosomal RNA (205 nucleotides) under uncultured Fragilariaceae. RNAcentral describes it as "partial Bacterial large subunit ribosomal RNA". It matches the Rfam family "Bacterial large subunit ribosomal RNA", at positions 2274 to 2479 of the family's 2925-position model. The record is from RNAcentral. Lineage: Eukaryota; Bacillariophyta; Fragilariophyceae; Fragilariales; Fragilariaceae.
CUGGGGCGGUCGCCUCCCAAAGAGUACCGGAGGCGUGCAAAGGUAAGCUCAAAUUGAAAAUAUCAAUUAAAGAGCGUAAUAGUAUAUGCUUGCUUGACUGUAAGAUUGACAAAUCGAGCAGGGACGAAAGUCGGUUAUAGUGAUCCGGUGAUUCUGUGUGGAAAAGAUCACCGCUCAACGAAUAAAAGGUACGCCGGGGAUAACA